CAUCUCACCGUUCAUAAUAUAUCGAUUAACUUUUUGAUAAAUUUUUUGUGGUUGCGAUCCGCGAGUGCGUAUUAUUUGUUUUAAGUUAUAACACAGUGUCACAGUGCGAUAAAAUUCCUAAGAUGUGUCUUGAACAUAUUUCACUACCACAACCAGUCCUGCGAAACGCGUUGUCUAUUACGCACCCAGCAAAUCACGUUUAAGAUGUGGAGCAGAGUAACGGCUGAGCAAACAACUGAAACCGAUUGAAUGGUGUGUGGUUAUAAUAUGAGUUAUAAGGCUUCGUCCAGCGGUGUCUGCAGCUCAACGUGUCCGGUCGCCCAUCAGGAAAUAAAUGCGAGCAGUGCGAGAGGAAACUUUGUCACGUCGUCGUAUGCAAAGUUUGUCAAUCGAAGAUCCAAAAGACUCAUUAUUGUAAUACAGCCAUACAGUAUAUUAUAUUAUGGAGAAAUUGAUUUCAGUAGUGGUGAAAAGUGAAAACCUGACCGGUAGUGUCGGCGGUGAAGAUUGAAACGGUCGAAACACAUUUUGCGGAAGUUGUCUGCCACGGGGUUACAUAAAUAAAUGCCAAAUGCUGGCGCCAAAUAAUAAAAAGCGUAUUCUACAAGGUGAUAUGAGUCAGCUCGCCCCAUUUUUUCAUUGGUAAUUUAUUUAAUCAAAUUUUGAUUUGUUAAACGUCCAAGUAUCUAUA
This is a long non-coding RNA of Aphis gossypii (cotton aphid), 691 nucleotides long. RefSeq lists it as uncharacterized. The transcript is spliced from 5 exons. NCBI's taxonomy places the organism in Eukaryota, Metazoa, Arthropoda, Insecta, Hemiptera, Aphididae. The record is from RefSeq and is a predicted model, not a curated record.